RNAcentral lists this unclassified non-coding RNA (1970 nucleotides) under Aphidius gifuensis. RNAcentral describes it as "ankyrin repeat domain-containing protein 39-like, transcript variant X1". The record is from RNAcentral. Lineage: Eukaryota; Metazoa; Arthropoda; Insecta; Hymenoptera; Braconidae.
UGAAGAAAAUACCCGUCCAUUGUGAACACGCCUCUGUAAAGUUAACGGCAAUUUUUUUCUUUUAUUUUACAAUAAAAUCCAGUAAAAUCCAAUAAAGCCAAGUGCAAGACACGUAUACAUAAAAAAACAAGUGUAAUUUAUUACGUUCACAGCAGUAAAAUUUACCUAAAUUAAAUCAUACGUAUUUAACAGAAAUAUUCGUUAGAUUAUUGACACGUUAAUUUACCAUCAUCAUAAUUAAUUAACUCCCUGGCUGACAAUAUAAAAAAUAAAAAAAUAAAAAAAUAAUCUUUUAAGGUAACAAACAAAAAUAAAUUAUUAAAAAUUCAUUAAGUAAAUUGUUGUUGCUAGUAACAAUACAAUUGUUAAUUUGCAUGUACAGAAAAAAAAUUUUAUUGUUUGUUUAAUGUAGUUUAUAGUAGCAUUGAGUAGCAUUUAUUAUUCAUGUAGAUAAAGUUGCAUAUAUAAUCAUACUGAAAAAUAAUUACUAGCUAUCCAAAGGCGUCAGAAAAAUAAUCCAUCUUGCCAAUGUCGAAAAGAAUAGUUAUUUUUCCGUUUUUGUAAAAAUUUCUGUAAAUAAUUUGUCAGUAUGAUAACCCUAGUUAUUUAUUAAUGCUAAUUUAACGUCUUUUUCACAUUUCAUAUUUUUUUUUCUGGGAGAUAUCAAGUGAUUUAGUGGCAACCGUGUCUUUGUAAAAAUAAUUAAAAUUUCAAUUAUAUUUAUUCGCUUCUCGUCAACAGAAAUUAAUCAACAAGGCUGGGCUUAUUUAUCUACAGUUUGGUAAACUUGAUAUAGUACAGUAUAGAAAAAAAAAAAUAAACGUUAAAUUUCAUGACUACACUGGACUAUAUCAACUUGACUGUAGAUAAACAAAUCAUAGUCUUGAAUCUUGAUCAUAAUUUUAUUAUCAAUAAUUAAAUAAGUAACGUUAAAAUGUCAUUAAGAACAUAGAUGAAAAUUAUAUUUAUCAAUUAAACUCAUACAUUUAUUUAAAAAAAUAAAAAAUGUGGAAAAUUUGUGAAAUUCAUGUUGAUAAGUGGGUGCAGUUUAUUGUGAAAUUUAAUUAAUAUUAUUAAUAAUUUUUUCUUUUUUAAAUUAUAAUAUAUUCAAAAAUUAUUAAAAAUAUUAUUAACAAUUCAUCAAAUUGUACGUAAAAAUUACUGUCAUUAUUUAUUAUUUAUUAGAUAAAAAAAAAAGAAACAAUUUGCAUAUUUUUUUUUUUUGAGAAUUAAUAUUGUUUUUUUGAUGUUAGAUAAUUUAAAUUAACUCUAUAUAUUUUAUCGUGCGUGUAAAUUAAAUAAUUACAGUUAAAAUAAAAUUUAAAAUAAAAAUUACCGAUGCCAUACAUUCUGGUACGUGGUAACCUUGCAUCCUACAGUCAUAAGUAUCCUUGGCGAGUACUUGUUUCUGGUUUAAAAGCAUCGGAUAUUGAACAAUUAAAACGUUUUGCAUCUGGUGGUUACUGUGACGAUUCAACGAUUGUUUAUCUUCAACAUCCUUGUGUUAUAUUGACAGCACUUGAGGUACUUGGUUACAAAGUUGUUGCAUCAUCAAGUACAAGUGUUAAACAGGAUUACAAUGAAUACAUGUGGACAAUGAGAAAAGAUUUUUCUGAACCAGAACCAGAACCAAUUGUUAAAUCAGAUAAAAAAAUUAUUUAAGAAAAAUGGAACAAGAACAUAAUAGUUGUGAUGACAAUGGUGAUCAUGGAGCUUGCUGUAAAUCAACUGGAUCAAGUUUGAGACAAACAUUGGAUGAGAUGGAUUUUGAACGUGGCAUUUGGCAUGCAGCUCAAACAGAUGAUCUUGAACGUGUUAAGAAUCUACUAUCACAAGGAACUUCAGCAUCCGAGCAAAUGGAGCUCAGGUAAAUUCUGUAACACGAUAUGGUCGAGCAACAUCUCUUCAUCGAGCAGCAAUGCGUGGCAAUGAUGAAAUUGUUCGUUUACUCAUGGACUCUGGUGCAGAUC